Molecule: long non-coding RNA, 101 nt
Organism: Myotis davidii
Lineage: Eukaryota; Metazoa; Chordata; Mammalia; Chiroptera; Vespertilionidae
Exons: 3
Source: RefSeq, a predicted model, not a curated record
CAUAGUUCAAGGAGGAACCUUAAAUACAUUUUGCUAGGUGAAAGAAGCUAAUCUGAAAAGGUUACAGACUAUGUAAUUCCAAUUAUAGGACAUUCUGGAAA